GAAAGCCGGGCGGGACGGCAGACGAGGCUGCUCGCUGGGAACAACUAUUUAGCCGUCCUGACGCAAGUCGUCCACCUUUUCCGAACUUUAAUCUCCCACCUCUUAAGUCUUAGGAGCAUGAAUCGGCACGCCCAGGCUUGCUAAGAUGACCCAAAUGCAAAUGAGAGCCUGACCAAAACAUUUUUAAACUCUGUAUACGGAGUUAUUUUGAAAUCAGGACCAGAGCUAACUCUGCAGGAAGGAGGAAAAAACUUGAAAAAGAGCAUGUCCACAAAACAUCUCGUGACCUACAGAAGAGAAAACAGACCAUCAAGCUAGAAGGAGAAAAGACUGAUUGAGGGGAAGAUCAGAGUGGAUGAGAGAAUCCACUAUCCUCCAUGGAGACAGACACUGUCAAGGACAAGCACCUGGAUCAUCUCCUCCCCACAAAGAGAUACAGGCUGGUGGGAAAGCUGCUGACCAGCAAGAUCACGGGCUCCCUCCUCUCUGCAAGUAGUCUCAAGGCCAAAGACAAGCUGAGCUGUGCAAAAAUAAAAUUCCUACUUUCUUCC
Molecule: long non-coding RNA, 551 nt
Filed under: Equus caballus (horse)
Lineage: Eukaryota; Metazoa; Chordata; Mammalia; Perissodactyla; Equidae
Description: lncRNA (ENSECAG00000043987.1)
Source: RNAcentral